This 329-nucleotide unclassified non-coding RNA is filed under the name Isodon inflexus. RNAcentral's name for it is "partial external transcribed spacer". Lineage: Eukaryota; Viridiplantae; Streptophyta; Magnoliopsida; Lamiales; Lamiaceae. The record is from RNAcentral.
GAGCAGCGACAGCACCUCCGUCUCGCCUCUUCAUUCGUCGGCACGAGCUUGUGCUCGUCCGCGGUCGGUUAUCCUGUGCUGCAUACCUAUCGAGAGGGCAUUUUGUUGGCCGAAACGGUCCCAUCUCCGUCUUGCGUCGCCGCUCCUUGCGGGCUGUCGAUGUGGGGUGGAUCUCAAGGCUCGCGUCGUGUCUCGCACCGCAUCCACCUAUUUUUGGUGUUUGGGCAGGCGAACCACGUCGCGUCGCCCGUCGCCUUGGGUACGGAACAUCACGUGGGUACGCGGCCUCGGCCGCCGAUCGCCACAACGAUGCGUUCUACGCUUUUUGC